UCCCUAGUAGCUCAGUCGGUAAAGCAUCUGACUGAAAUGCAGGAGACCCGGGUUCAAUCCCUGGGUCAGGAA
RNAcentral lists this transfer RNA (72 nucleotides) under Bos taurus (domestic cattle). It matches the Rfam family "tRNA". From Rfam's summary of the family: Transfer RNA (tRNA) molecules are approximately 80 nucleotides in length. Their secondary structure includes four short double-helical elements and three loops (D, anti-codon, and T loops). The record is from Rfam by way of RNAcentral. RNAcentral also lists the same sequence under 5 other names. Lineage: Eukaryota; Metazoa; Chordata; Mammalia; Artiodactyla; Bovidae.